RNAcentral lists this ribosomal RNA (492 nucleotides) under uncultured bacterium. Its description in RNAcentral is "partial 16S ribosomal RNA". It matches the Rfam family "Bacterial small subunit ribosomal RNA", at positions 29 to 507 of the family's 1533-position model. The record is from RNAcentral.
AGUGAACGCUGGCGGUAGGCCUAAUACAUGCAAGUCGAGCGACCGCACAGUAAGAGCUUGCUCUUACGGUUGGCGAGUGACGGACGGGUAAGACAUACAUAGCCAUCUACUUUUUCUUGGGGGAUUACGUGGGGAAACUGCCGCUAAUACCUCAUACGACCUACGGGUUAAAGCAGUGGUUCAUCGCACCUUUCGCGAUAGAUUGAGCUGAUGUCGGAUUAGCUAGUUGGCGGGGUAAAGGCCCACCAAGGCGACGAUCCGUAGCUGGUCUGAGAGGAUGAUCAGCCACACUGGAACUGAGACACGGUCCAGACUCCUACGGGAGGCAGCAGUGGGGAAUAUUGGACAAUGGGCGCAAGCCUGAUCCAGCCAUACCGCGUGGGUGAAGAAGGCCUUCGGGUUGUAAAGCCCUUUUGUUGGGAAAGAAAAGCAGCAGGUUAAUACCCCGCUGUUCUGACGGUACCCAAAGAAUAAGCACCGGCUAACUUCGUG